CAGUAAGUAGUUUAAUAAAAUACUAAUUUUGGAGAUUAGAGAUGAGUUUUACUCUUUACUGA
Molecule: transfer RNA, 62 nt
Filed under: Yemmalysus parallelus
Lineage: Eukaryota; Metazoa; Arthropoda; Insecta; Hemiptera; Berytidae
Also listed under: 1 other name
Description: tRNA-Pro
Source: RNAcentral